RNAcentral lists this ribosomal RNA (439 nucleotides) under uncultured bacterium. RNAcentral describes it as "partial 16S ribosomal RNA". It matches the Rfam family "Bacterial small subunit ribosomal RNA", at positions 339 to 795 of the family's 1533-position model. The record is from RNAcentral.
CUACGGGAGGCAGCAGUGAGGAAUAUUGCACAAUGGGGGGAACCCUGAUGCAGCAACGCCGCGUGGAGGAUGACGCAUUUCGGUGUGUAAACUCCUUUUAUAUGUCAAGAAAAUGACGGUAGCUUAUGAAUAAGCACCGGCUAACUCCGUGCCAGCAGCCGCGGUAAUACGGAGGGUGCAAGCGUUACUCGGAAUCACUGGGCGUAAAGGACGCGUAGGCGGGUUGGAAAGUCAGGUGUGAAAUCCUACAGCUUAACUGUAGAACUGCACUUGAAACUUCUAAUCUAGAGUAUGGGAGGGGGAGAUGGAAUUAGUGGUGGAGGGGUAAAAUCCGUAGAUAUCACUAGGAAUACCUAAAGCGAAGGCGAUCUCCUGGAACAUUACUGACGCUAAGGCGUGAAAGCGUGGGGAGCAAACAGGAUUAGAUACCCUUGUAGUC